GUCACUAGGGUGACCUGGAGGACAGUGGCAUGUAUGUUCAGCACUGCUUUGUGCCCUGACAAUAGUUGGCAAGCCUAUGUGUGGUGCUUUACUUUCUUUCCUGGUGGAGAGGAGUUUUACACAGCGGGGGUCGCCGCGGUGUGCUGGGCGAUCUAGUCUUGUCGCAAUAGAGCCACUUUCGAGUUCAAGCCGCUUAAAAACCCAUUUGGAUGUGUUUUUUCUGCCUGUGCUCUAAUGUAUUAUUGGGCAGGACUGCUGAAGCAAGAUGACGCGGCUACCAUGAGGGACGGGGCAAAGAUGCUGAAGGAGAACGCGUCGAUGAUGAUGAGAAUCUGCGUGGCGAAUCAUGAAGAAUCGGCUCGCUGA
This 366-nucleotide ribosomal RNA is filed under the name Triticum aestivum (bread wheat). RNAcentral's name for it is "partial small subunit ribosomal RNA". The record is from RNAcentral. Lineage: Eukaryota; Viridiplantae; Streptophyta; Magnoliopsida; Poales; Poaceae.